UACAGAGGGUGCAAGCGUUAAUCGGAAUUACUGGGCGUAAAGCGUGCGUAGGUGGUUUGCUAAGUCAGGUGUGAAAUCCCCGGGCUCAACCUGGGAACUGCAUUUGAUACUGGCAAACUAGAGUGUGGUAGAGGGUAGUGGAAUUCCCGGUGUAGCGGUGAAAUGCGUAGAUAUCGGGAGGAACAUCAGUGGCGAAGGCGGCUACCUGGACCAACACUGACACUGAGGCACGAAAGCGUGGGUAGCAAACAGG
RNAcentral lists this ribosomal RNA (253 nucleotides) under uncultured bacterium. RNAcentral describes it as "partial 16S ribosomal RNA". It matches the Rfam family "Bacterial small subunit ribosomal RNA", at positions 524 to 776 of the family's 1533-position model. The record is from RNAcentral.